This 246-nucleotide ribosomal RNA is filed under the name uncultured bacterium. Its description in RNAcentral is "partial small subunit ribosomal RNA". It matches the Rfam family "Bacterial small subunit ribosomal RNA", at positions 26 to 286 of the family's 1533-position model. The record is from RNAcentral.
AGAAUCAACGCUGGCGGCGUGCCUAACACAUGCAAGUCGCACGAGAAAGGGACUUCGGUCCUGAGUACAGUGGCGCACGGGUGAGUAACACGUGAAUAAUCUACCUCCGAGUGGGGAAUAACUGAGAGAAAUCUUAGCUAAUACCGCAUAACACUUACGAGUCAAAGCAGCAAUGCGCUUGGAGAGGAGUUCGCGGCAGAUUAGUUAGUUGGCGGGGUAAUGGCCCACCAAGACGAUGAUCUGUAU